Molecule: ribosomal RNA, 654 nt
Filed under: Staphylococcus epidermidis
Lineage: Bacteria; Bacillati; Bacillota; Bacilli; Caryophanales; Staphylococcaceae
Description: bacterial SSU rRNA
Rfam family: Bacterial small subunit ribosomal RNA
Source: RNAcentral
AGCUUGCUCCUCUGACGUUAGCGGCGGACGGGUGAGUAACACGUGGAUAACCUACCUAUAAGACUGGGAUAACUUCGGGAAACCGGAGCUAAUACCGGAUAAUAUAUUGAACCGCAUGGUUCAAUAGUGAAAGACGGUUUUGCUGUCACUUAUAGAUGGAUCCGCGCCGCAUUAGCUAGUUGGUAAGGUAACGGCUUACCAAGGCAACGAUGCGUAGCCGACCUGAGAGGGUGAUCGGCCACACUGGAACUGAGACACGGUCCAGACUCCUACGGGAGGCAGCAGUAGGGAAUCUUCCGCAAUGGGCGAAAGCCUGACGGAGCAACGCCGCGUGAGUGAUGAAGGUCUUCGGAUCGUAAAACUCUGUUAUUAGGGAAGAACAAAUGUGUAAGUAACUAUGCACGUCUUGACGGUACCUAAUCAGAAAGCCACGGCUAACUACGUGCCAGCAGCCGCGGUAAUACGUAGGUGGCAAGCGUUAUCCGGAAUUAUUGGGCGUAAAGCGCGCGUAGGCGGUUUUUUAAGUCUGAUGUGAAAGCCCACGGCUCAACCGUGGAGGGUCAUUGGAAACUGGAAAACUUGAGUGCAGAAGAGGAAAGUGGAAUUCCAUGUGUAGCGGUGAAAUGCGCAGAGAUAUGGAGGAACACCAGUGGC